CUCGAUCUGUCCCAGCGUCUCUGUCUCCUAGGCCCCGCUGUCAGUGCCCCCUGCCCGUCCGGCAUUAACACCCCCGCUCUCCGUCCGCGGCGGCAGUGUAACAACUACUGCUGCGCCGCGGCCAGUUUGUGAUAGCAGCGCAGCGGAAGGCUUUCAUAGCCCUCCCUGCGCCGCAUACUCACUGGGACCCGGCGCCUUCUCCCCCACGUGUGAUGUCACUGCCACCGCCACCUGGCGCGCCCAGAUCCCUGGACUCCACAUCCCAGCACCUGACCAAAGUGAUGGAGAAGGAACGGGCAGAGCGGGUGCCGCUGCGGGGAGGUGAUGUUUGGACGCCGCACAGAUAUUACAGGUACCCCUAAUGGAUUCUACAUGGACAAGUGGACGUGAUCGGCGUGGGAUGUAGAACGAGGUACACAAUGAGCUGAGAAAAGCCGCAGACACUAUAUAUGUGCCAGGUUAUAUACUACGUAUCCACUGCUAGAAACAUGAAGACUCCAGUGAUGCCGGUUGCUAUGACAAUCUGAUGGGGAGAUGGCAGAGAGGCAGUAAAAUGAACAAUGAUACACUGCUUUUUAAAAUACAAUUCAUCCUUGGAAAAUCGUCCUAAAAAGAAAAGAAAGGGCCACAAAGGAUUCCAGUCGCCACUUCAGAAGACAGAUCAGUGUGAGCUGAGUCUGAUGAUAUGUGCUGUAUGCAGUGUCCCAGCUGGCAUCACUCUCAUUCUAUUGCUCUCAUAAGGACACUCACCUGAGGUUCAUUUCACACACAUUCCCAUAUUACUGCAGUCUGUGCGCAAUAAAGCAAGUCUA
Molecule: long non-coding RNA, 812 nt
Organism: Pseudophryne corroboree (corroboree frog)
Lineage: Eukaryota; Metazoa; Chordata; Amphibia; Anura; Myobatrachidae
Exons: 6
Source: RefSeq, a predicted model, not a curated record